AUGGCAUCACCGCGGGUGUGCGUGACCGGCGGCGGCGGGUACAUCGCCUCGUGGCUCGUCAAGCUGCUCCUCUCCCGGGGCUACGCCGUCCACGCCACCGUCCGCGACCCAUGUGACCAGAAGAACGCGCAUCUGAUGCAGCUGGAGGGGGCGGCGGAGAGCCUGAGCUUGUUCAAGGCCGACGUGCUCGACCGCGCCGCGCUCGCCGCCGCCGUUGAGGGUUGCCAGGGCGUCUUCCAUGUCGCCUCCCCUGUGCCCGCAAACAAGAUCGUCGACCCUGAGUCAGAAAUCAUGGUGCCUGCCGUGAAGGGCACCCUAAAUAUUCUUGAAGUUUGUUCAUCUCUGAAGGUUCAGAAGGUUGUGGUGGUGUCAUCCACCGCUGCUGUUCAUUCUAACCCCAACUGGCCUCAGGGUAAACCCAAAGACGAGAGUUGCUGGUCCGACAGAAAAAUAUGCAUGGAGAAGGAGGAGGUCCUAAUGCGUUGA
Molecule: ribosomal RNA, 486 nt
Filed under: Triticum aestivum (bread wheat)
Lineage: Eukaryota; Viridiplantae; Streptophyta; Magnoliopsida; Poales; Poaceae
Description: partial small subunit ribosomal RNA
Source: RNAcentral